AUAUCACAUUGAAAUGCUUGUUCUCAUACGAUAGCAGAAGUUAAGGGACAUCGGGUCUGGUCAGUACCUAGAUGGGUGACCACUUGGGAAUACCAUGUGCU
Non-coding RNA from Acanthosepion pharaonis, 101 nucleotides. Lineage: Eukaryota; Metazoa; Mollusca; Cephalopoda; Sepiida; Sepiidae. The record is from the annotation of a GenBank genome assembly.